This is a long non-coding RNA of Betta splendens (Siamese fighting fish), 1862 nucleotides long. RefSeq lists it as uncharacterized. Lineage: Eukaryota; Metazoa; Chordata; Actinopteri; Anabantiformes; Osphronemidae. The record is from RefSeq and is a predicted model, not a curated record. The transcript is spliced from 3 exons.
GAACUACGUGUCCCAUGAUGCCUCGCUUUCCUAAUGACCAAAUGGAACCCAGCGGUCGAGCCGUUCUGACAGCUGAGCUCGAAGUUUGCUGAGGGGAGCUCGAGCGCCGACCGCGACCUUGAACAAACACGAAUUAAAUGACCAUGACACAGCAGAGGAGCCGGCCGGCGAGGCAGCACUAGCAGCACAGCGCGUUGAGCUGAAGGGGAUCGGCCUGUUCCACACAGCAUCACGUGAGGAAACCUGCGUCUGCAGCCCCACAUUUGUCUCGUCUCAGCACAGAAGCUUUCAUCUGGUUGUCACUGUGUAAACGCUACUGAACUGAACCUAGCCAUGUUUCUUCUGCCUACUAGUGCCACUCUGUGCACAAUAACAUGCGGUGAGUUACUGAUAAAAAGUAUUUUAGGUUUGUUUGUGUUUUAGCUUAAUACAUUUCCAGCCUUUGUGUCUUUGAACCCACCAUGUUGACCCAUGUCCCAAAGCCAUUUCUAGUUUCUGUUUCGUUCCUCCCCAAACUCAAGUGUGACAACGUGAAGGAUUUGUUGCCUGUUGCUGACAACGCAAACGUGUGCAAUUAGUUUCAUAGAAGAGAUUGUGCGACUGACAUCACAGUGAAGUGACUCAUUUGCAUGCGUUUCACCUUUCUGCCUUUGUGCUGAGGGUCACAUGUUUCAGGUGAAAGUGUGGAAUAAAGGCCCCCAGGGCUCGGUGGGUGUUUGGGUUUCUAGGAACCUUCUCUUCACGGUGGGACUUCUGUCCAGAUAUAACUCUCCCAGUUGUCAGGGUGACAUUCCUGCUCACGGCGAGGUCGACUGUAGACCAGCAGCGUUUCCCAAGCUCUUUCCCCCUGUCUGUUCUGGUUGAUCUGACUGUGCUGGACCUUAUGCACCAGAACGUCAUUCUCUGCAAACUAUAUAUUUAAUUACUCAAAUUUAAGUGGGAUCUUCAUCCUGUUGCACGCUUAAGUUUUUAUCUCAGUUACGUGAUACUUAUCAGUUUGUUUCCUGUGAAUUUUCCUCUGUCAUGAUGGGAUCUUCAGUAUUUGUUUGAUCGGUGUGUAUUUUGAUCAUGAUGCCGGCUUUAUGUUUCCACUGUACCUCACAUUGGAACAUGUGUUGAAGAGAUGAAGAAGAGAAGAUGAUGGACGUCAGCAAAGUUCAAAUUCAACAACAUGGGUGUUGUAUGAACAUGAUCCAAAAGGAUGUCAGUAAGAAGACACCGGGCUUCACUGACAGCCAUUGUUUGAGCGUGAAAUCUCCCUUCUCCAGCUCCUUUAUGCACAAUAUCACAAAAUGACGAAUAAACGUGCCCUUUAUUGGCAGUUGGCUCAGUAAGUAUAUAUAGAUUAUAAAUGAUUAACCAUUCUCCUCGGUCAGCACUGGGCCAGGCCAUGUGGUUCAGGACGCUCUCAUUUUCCAAAGGCUGCAUGACUUCAUUUAUGGCAGGAUGACGAUCAGUCAGUCUGAUGAUAAAAAGUGAUUUUCACUUCUUGAAAAGAGUGAAACGCUAACGAUAUCUGUUUGCGACAUAGACUGACGGUACUCGCUUCUGAAGGGCCUAUUGUGGAAAUAUUGGGUCAUAAACGUAUCUGGUUUGUAGCGGCAGGUUACUGGUGUCGACUGGUUAAUUAGACUGUGUCCUGGUGUGAUGAAUGCCGGCUUAUCUCUGGAUUAUGAAUAUCAUGUGCUCAGUUGAUGAUGUUUGGGUCUUUCCACAGAGUGAGGUGAUGUGAGGUGAUGUUGAUGGGUGAAGUGAUGGAACUUUUAACAAACUUUCCAUCUGUUGUUGAGUAUUAGAUGAUUUCCUGUACUGGUGAACAAUGAAAACACAUUCACAACUGGUUUAGAGACAUAUCUGUUUUA